UGACUUGUAUACUAGAGAGGUGGGAUCAAUAACGCAAAUAUAGAAAGGCUGUUUAAAUGAUUAUGGCAGUCCUGAAUAUGACAGGAGUCAGAUAACUGAUGUUCUCGUUAGUUACCGUUGAGUCAGCCCCUGUCUCAUGGCAACCCCAAGUGUUACAGACUAGAACUGCUCCAUAUGGUUUUCUCGGCUGUAGUCUUUAUGUAAGCGUAUCACCAGGCCUUUCUUCCACAGGGCCACUGGGUGACUUAGGUUAGUAGUCAAGUGCAAGCUGUUUGUGCCACUCAGGUACUUUUCAUUACUGAUAUGCAUGCUAAAUACUUCAGAUUAUUCACCAAAAUAAGAAAAAUAGAAUGUGUAAUUUCCAAACUAUACAGAAUUAAAAAAAUAACAGAGAGAAUUUUUAGUGAAUUGAUAAGCAGAUAAGAAAGAAGAAAAAUAGAGGCAAAUUAAAAGCAUGGUAAACAGAAAAACCCAAAUAAGAUUGUAGAAAAAAGUCCAAGUAUAUUAAUCACUAUAAAUAAAAACGAAACAGACAUUAAUAUCAGGCAUAAGAAUUUAAGAAAGAUUGGUAGGAUAAAGGAGUGGUAUGUAGUAGGUAUAGAAAGAAAAAGUCACCAAGAAAACAUACAGUCUUCAACUUGUAUUCACUUAACAACCUAAAGCAUGAUAUGGGACAUAAAAUCAAAAGACGCACCUGACCUAAAGUAAAAUGGCUGAACUAAUGCUAAGGCUCAGUAUAACCUUUCACAUAGAUUCAAACCCUGUUGCUUAGGAGCCAACCCUGUCAUUAAUGAAAUUCUUUUCUUUGUGGUCAGGCUAAGGAUGUGGACACUACGUGUCCUGGGGCCUGUAACCAAACCUUAUCGAAACGCUUUGUGUUAGAUCUCUUCAGAAAAUCUUAUAUUCUGAGUGAGGUAAUGUUUAACAACCUAUUCCUGACAGUACCUGUCAUGCCAUCGUCAUGUCGUUGUUUUUUGACGGUCCUGAGGCCCCCCUCUGCAAACACAUACCUUGCAAUUUUGUCCUUUAGCCAAUGUAUUCCAGUUGUAUUAAUGUAACCAGCAGUGUUAAAAAUCAUGCUUUGCUUUGUCUCACCUUUGAUUGACCUCAGUCACUGUAAACCAAUCAGAAUAUUGUGUUUUCUAUCUCCUCCUAUGACACUAUACCUAGAUGUGAUUUGUACCCCCUCCCUUGGAUCUGUGAGCUUCAAACUCUGAGGUUUUCACGAUCUCCAUUCGAAUGACAUACUGCCUUCAAUACAUGUCUUUUUUUUUUUACUUUAACAGAAUUGGAGAGUCUUUUCUCUACAAUAUUUGGCAGAGUCUUGGUGGGAUUCGGUGAUGUCUUCCCCAGUGGACCAGGAGGAGCUGAAAAACCAGAGUUAGGCACUGACAAGCUCCUGCUGUCUCGGACCCCUUGGGACCUGUCCAGACGAAGGAGCUGUGAUGUAUGACCUGCCCAUGGAGAGACUUAUGUGACAAAGACCUGAGGGAGGGUCCUGAUCAACAGACAGAGAGGGAGUGAGGCCCUCCAGACCAACAGCUCACAGAGUCCUGCUCAUAACAUGGAAGUGAGUAGGGAGCAGAUCCUCCCCAGUCAAGACUCAGUUGAGACCACAACCACAGGGUCCUGAGAACUUGGGGCAGUCACCAGAUUGUGACCUCCUGGGGACAGGGACGUCGUGGAUCCUUUUCAGAACCAGCCCCUGGACCACCUGCUGAUGUUGAUCCUGCCCCUGUGCUAACGCUGGAGCUCCAUAGUGCACCAACUAUUCCGUCACCAAUAUCAGAUGGACAGACAGCUGGAGGGAGUGAAAACAAUAACAAGAGGAAAACAUUGGAAUUCUUCACUUUUAACUGGAUCUGACAAAUUACCAGAGGAUACAAGGCUUUUCCAGGAAACACCAAAGCAGACAGUGUGGUGCUCUACAGACUCCAGCCUCCCAUGGAAGCCAGAUUCCUGCACUUCUUCAUUGUAGUCUGGAACGCUAAGGUCUGGAUCGAGAUGCUGAUCGAAGUGUAGGGUUGUGCAUAUCGUAAGUGCUGUUUCUUCCUCUGGAAGCCCUGGUUGCAUAGUGGUGAGGAGCUUCGACUGCUAACCGAAAAGUCGGCUGUUUGAAUCCACCAAGUGCUCCUGGAAAACCCUAUGGGGGAGUUCUACUCUGUCCUAUAGGGUCACUGUGAGUCAGAAUCGACUCGAUGGCCAUGGGUUUCCUCCUCUAGUGAUAUCAUUGUUGGCAUGAGAUGUUGUAAAAGUCGCAUUGCCAACUUAAUUUGAUAUUCUUCAGCCUUUUAAAUAGCUGUGCAAGUAGAACUGGUUUUUACGGAAAGCCUUUCAUGUAAAAAAAAAAUUUUUUUUUUUUCAUUUCCACCUAUGGCUACACUGUGUUUGGAGGAGACUUGAACUGAGUCACAUUUACCUUUAGAUUCCCAGAGUUGAGCAAAGUACCUGCUCUGUAAUAGGCAUUUAGUAUAACUAAUGAAAUUUAAAUUAACACUCACGACUGAUGGUGCUGUUUUCUGACACGAAGAUGAUGGUGCAGGGACACAGGAGUGCCUGCUACCUGUAGAUGUCUCCUGUGUUCCCUGACUCAGUUUCCCCUCUACCUGCCUUUAUGUGCAUCUCUCUGAAAUUUUCAUUUGCAAAAAUAAAAUAAAAUCUUCAUUUGCUCUGUAAGUUCAUCUCACUUUCACUUGGUAAGAACAUCACUCAUAGUAUUGCAUUGACCUCUUUUCUAUUUUGUUUUCUCGAGUAAAAGUAAUGAAAUUUCAAGUAAACACGAUUAUAAGCACAGACAUGAAUGUAGGCAGUGAAAUGAAAUGGCAGGACUGAAUUCCGUAGUUCCCAUUGGGAUGAUCCAGAGUAUAUGUGAUUCAAGUUAGUAUCUAAAUGAAAAAGCUAAAUAUUUCUUUAAAGAACUCAAGAGUAACCCCAAAAUAGGCUGGAGGUGUGUUCUGAGGUUUGAUUUUUGGUGACGUGGGCCUCAUCACUUGUUACCAUGAUCAUGCCUCACUCACUACCUCGUUAGAGUAUUAACCUUCCAGAGUAUUAAUUUUCUAAGACAGAAUAAUAACCUCAAACCUUUAAUGUCUCAGAUUCUGUUCUUUACAGACAUCUUAAUAUUUAACCAUCCAAUAUCACAAUUAAUUCAGUUUAUUAGAUUUCCCAUUCUUCUUCAGAAAAUCAUAAAACCUGUU
Molecule: long non-coding RNA, 3197 nt
Organism: Loxodonta africana (African savanna elephant)
Lineage: Eukaryota; Metazoa; Chordata; Mammalia; Proboscidea; Elephantidae
Exons: 5
Source: RefSeq, a predicted model, not a curated record